UCCUCGUUCGUCUAACGGCAAGACACCGGGUUCUGGCCCCGGCAAUGGGGGUUCGAGUCCUCCACGAGGAG
This 71-nucleotide transfer RNA is filed under the name Mycolicibacterium phlei. RNAcentral's name for it is "tRNA-Gln". It matches the Rfam family "tRNA". From Rfam's summary of the family: Transfer RNA (tRNA) molecules are approximately 80 nucleotides in length. Their secondary structure includes four short double-helical elements and three loops (D, anti-codon, and T loops). Further hydrogen bonds mediate the characteristic L-shaped molecular structure. tRNAs have two regions of fundamental functional importance: the anti-codon, which is responsible for specific mRNA codon recognition, and the 3' end, to which the tRNAs corresponding amino acid is attached (by aminoacyl-tRNA synthetases). tRNAs cope with the degeneracy of the genetic code in two manners: having more than one tRNA (with a specific anti-codon) for a particular amino acid; and 'wobble' base-pairing, i.e. permitting non-standard base-pairing at the 3rd anti-codon position. Lineage: Bacteria; Bacillati; Actinomycetota; Actinomycetes; Mycobacteriales; Mycobacteriaceae. RNAcentral also lists the same sequence under 1 other name. The record is from RNAcentral.